UGGCUACGAGGACGACGCUGGCGGCGUGCUUAACACAUGCAAGUCGAACGGGGUUCCUUGGAUAGAGGGCUUCGGCCAAUUGAAUUGGAACCUAGUGGCGGACUGGUGAGUAACGCGUGAGGAACCUGCCUUUCAGAGGGGGACAACAGUUGGAAACGACUGCUAAUACCGCAUGAUGCAUUCGGGUCGCAUGGCCUGAAUGCCAAAGAUUUAUCGCUGAAAGAUGGCCUCGCGUCUGAUUAGCUAGUUGGUGAGGUAACGGCCCACCAAGGCGACGAUCAGUAGCCGGACUGAGAGGUUGACCGGCCACAUUGGGACUGAGAUACGGCCCAGACUCCUACGGGAGGCAGCAGUGGGGAAUAUUGGGCAAUGGACGCAAGUCUGACCCAGCAACGCCGCGUGAAGGAAGAAGGCUUUCGGGUUGUAAACUUCUUUGACAGGGGAAGAGUAGAAGACGGUACCCUGAAAACAAGCCACGGCUAACUACGUG
This 490-nucleotide ribosomal RNA is filed under the name uncultured bacterium. Its description in RNAcentral is "bacterial SSU rRNA". It matches the Rfam family "Bacterial small subunit ribosomal RNA", at positions 33 to 507 of the family's 1533-position model. The record is from RNAcentral.